Selaginella moellendorffii is the source of this 132-nucleotide small nucleolar RNA. The record is from Rfam. Lineage: Eukaryota; Viridiplantae; Streptophyta; Lycopodiopsida; Selaginellales; Selaginellaceae.
AUCCCAGCCACGGCUUUCUUUCUCGCCGUGUCUGAUUCAUCAGAGGCGCAUAGCAAACCAGAUCUGCAAGUUUCGCUGACAGCACCCGAUUCACCGCUGGGUGUCUAUCUGAUAGUAGCUUCGCAGACAUUC